UGAGGAAUAUUGGACAAUGGGCGCAAGCCUGAUCCAGCCAUGCCGCGUGCAGGAUGACGGUCCUAUGGAUUGUAAACUGCUUUUGUACAGGAAGAAACAGUUCUACGUGUAGAACCUUGACGGUACUGUAAGAAUAAGGAUCGGCUAACUCCGUGCCAGCAGCCGCGGUAAUACGGAGGAUCCAAGCGUUAUCCGGAAUCAUUGGGUUUAAAGGGUCCGUAGGCGGUUAGAUAAGUCAGUGGUGAAAGCCCAUCGCUCAACGGUGGAACGGCCAUUGAUACUGUCUGACUUGAAUUAUUAGGAAGUAACUAGAAUAUGUAGUGUAGCGGUGAAAUGCUUAGAGAUUACAUGGAAUACCAAUUGCGAAGGCAGGUUACUACUAAUGGAUUGACGCUGAGGCGCGAAAGCGUGGGGAGCAAACAGGAUUAGAUACCCUCGUAGUCCCUGAGCGGGCUGGCAAGGCGCAU
RNAcentral lists this ribosomal RNA (467 nucleotides) under uncultured bacterium. RNAcentral's name for it is "bacterial SSU rRNA". It matches the Rfam family "Bacterial small subunit ribosomal RNA", at positions 355 to 825 of the family's 1533-position model. The record is from RNAcentral.